AUUGCUUCUCAGCCUUUUGGUUAAGGUCAAGUGUA
RNAcentral lists this small nuclear RNA (35 nucleotides) under Cervus elaphus hippelaphus. The record is from RNAcentral. Lineage: Eukaryota; Metazoa; Chordata; Mammalia; Artiodactyla; Cervidae.